GACCAAGAUCGAGUUGCCAAGUCACGGGAAACUCCUACAAAAACCCUAAACAAUUAGAUCUGAAACGAAACAGAAAAUUAAAAGAUUAGAUUUUUGAAUUUUCAGAUCUGAAAUAAAAUCCUCAAAUCAGCAAAGAAUCAAAUUGAGAAUAGAAAUAAGUGUUAGGGUUCUUGAAACCCUCAAGGAGAUUGUGAUUCUGCCCAAUUGAACACCAAGAUAGUUUUCCCCAAAUUUCGACAAUCUAA
RNAcentral lists this long non-coding RNA (245 nucleotides) under Gossypium barbadense (sea-island cotton). RNAcentral describes it as "long non-coding RNA (GBAR_LNC012341)". The record is from RNAcentral. Lineage: Eukaryota; Viridiplantae; Streptophyta; Magnoliopsida; Malvales; Malvaceae.